Bombyx mori (domestic silkworm) is the source of this 913-nucleotide long non-coding RNA. RefSeq lists it as uncharacterized. The record is from RefSeq and is a predicted model, not a curated record. The transcript is spliced from 4 exons. Lineage: Eukaryota; Metazoa; Arthropoda; Insecta; Lepidoptera; Bombycidae.
GAUAGAUGACAUGGUUUAUUCUAUUGCUAAAGCAAUUAUUUUGAAGGUUGGAAAGAACUGACAUACUGUCACUGACGAUAAGCCACUUAUUCUGUUUUCUGGCACAUAUGUCUUCUUUUAUAUAUUUCAAGGCAUGCAAUAUAGCAAGUGCUUCUGCUGUGAAAAUGCUGGAUGAAGGUAUGCCAAGAGUCAAUAGCUCUCUAGUGAGAACUUUAUGGUCAACAUUAUUAAAUGCUCCAACAACAUCAAGAAAAACACAGACAAGGAAUCUGUUAUAUGCAAAUGCACUAUGAAUAUCUAAGUAAAGAUUAUUCAUACUUUCAGCAGCAGAAAAACCUCUACGGAAACCAAAUUGAUUUGAAGAUGGUCGAUAAUGGCGUUUGUCUAUUGAGUAACUCACAAAAAGCUGUCCAAGAAGCUUCUCUUUCUUUAUUAAGUAAUAGCUGAACAAGAUGCUAAUGACAGUUGGCAAGAGAUAGCUGCCCAUUGGAUCAUUGUGAACAGACCAGUUGCAACGAAGUGAUAGUGAUGAUGAAACAAUUGUGAGAUCUAAUGCAUUGGGACGCCAAUUGUGGGAACCCACAGUGGUGGCUUGUCCAUCAUUGAGUAUACAAAGAUCACUAUCUUCAAUAAUAUUAUGUAGUGUUGUACCACUACCAUUAUUCGAAGUGCAACCCCACAUCGUAUGAUGAGCAUUAAAAUCACCUGCCAAUAGCAAGGGCUUUGGAAGAGAAUCAAUCAAAUGAUUGAUAUGUGUAUAAGUAAAAUUUUGCGAGGCAGCUGAAGUAGGACUAUAGAAGCUAACAAUAGAGAUUUCUUCAUUGUUGAACUGUAAUCUAAUAGCUAUUUUCUGCAAAGAAUCAUCAUGUAAUGUAUUUAAUCUAAUAUAGUUUAAAUUAUUUUUUAUAAGUAU